GGUUCGCAGGUCGUAUAUUUAACCCUGUAACUAUCCAGGACACCAUAAAACCUGUUUAUGGGAGGUACUGUUUUACUCGGAAGACUUCACUGAACACAAAUAUUAGUGUAAUGUAUCAUGACGAUAUAGUCAGUGAAAGUGCCAUUUUUUGCAUUUUUCACACACAAACAACACUUUCACUACCGAUAUCAUUGUUGUGAUAUGUGUUACUGUUUUGAAACACUAAUAUUACUGUUCAGCGAAGUCUCCCGAGUAUAACAGUACCCCCGAUGUACAGGUUUUAUGGUGUUUUCAAAAGUUAGAGUCAAAUAUAAGGCUUGCAUUUCAGUUUUUUUCACAUUUGCAAGACUGGUUAUGUUGCCUUUAAGACCAAAAGGUAGCCC
Molecule: non-coding RNA, 383 nt
Organism: Pelobates cultripes (western spadefoot toad)
Lineage: Eukaryota; Metazoa; Chordata; Amphibia; Anura; Pelobatidae
Source: the annotation of a GenBank genome assembly